RNAcentral lists this long non-coding RNA (1355 nucleotides) under Eucalyptus grandis. RNAcentral describes it as "long non-coding RNA (EGRA_LNC006152)". The record is from RNAcentral. Lineage: Eukaryota; Viridiplantae; Streptophyta; Magnoliopsida; Myrtales; Myrtaceae.
UAACAAUGUGUUAAAUGUUUUUGUAGGUUUGGAGUAAUAAGGGGUGGAGUGUUUGUUAACACAUCUCUUUUGUAGGGAGGCGUAGGAAUGUAUGCCUAUAUGGAUGAAAUUGAAGUGUUGUUUGGAUAUCAAUCGAUGUGUGUGCCUUUAUACUUGUCUUAGCACUACACAUUUACACACACAACCCGCGAUCUAAAACCCCGAUCGCAUUAGGAAGCCCAUAGAAGGUGCCGAAGGAUGGAACCCGUGCGGGGAAUGACCUAUGGUUAUCCACUUUUGGUCCUGCUCAUUUUGAUUAAUGAUAAAGAGAACUAUCCGACGUAAGCGCGGAGUGGGGAAAACUCUUUUGAUCUAAUCAAAAUGGGGACUUUAAGCCUUUAGAAUUCCACCUUUAUGCGUCAAACCUCACAAGUUUACAUCCGCAUGUUUACGUGAUUGAAAAAAAAAUGUCUCUUCACCCAUUGUAAGUAUGAUUUCUCUAUCUACUUGCUCACUUCGGAUUGAAAUUUUCAUUUUUUGAGAUUCGCGGAAAUCAAUGGAAUGCCCUUAGCGAUAUAGGCUUGGCUCUCACUCUUAAUAAAUAAACAUUUCAAAUACCUUUGAUCUAACCCCAUAAAACAAAUGUUUUUGUUUUCAAUUGUGAACUCAAAGUCACAUUUUGUAUAGAAAUUCUUCCAAGUCAAGAUUACAUUUUGGGGCAUAGAAUUAAAAUCAAAUUUUCAAUAAAAUUCUUUCUCGGUCACAUUCCGAAAUUAAAAUUCAAAUCACAUUUUGUGUAUUGAUUUCUCAAAAUAAAAAUCACCUCACCUUUGCAUGAGUGAAAUUACAAACUAAUCUUUCAAAAUCAAUGCCCCAUUUGUGUAUGAAACUUUUGGAACAGAGUGGGCAUUCAAUUGAUAGCCGUGGAUCGAUCUUUUAAUGAAAUCUCCUCUUACUAAUAAAAUCUUGAUGAAAUACCAAAUUUUCGUAAAUGGAUACUACGAAGAAGGUAUCGUCGCCUUGAUUUCAUUGUAAGAGGCGGCUUUAUUGAAAGAUCAAUUUUUCAUCCAUGUACUAACAUUAUCUUCCUUUCGCAGGUCAUGCGUGACAACCAUUCCUUGAACUCCUCUUGCUUGACCAUGCCAAAAGUGGACUUUAAAGCUAGGACGAUAAUUGUGCUUAUUAUGAUCCUCUACGAAAGAGCUUCUUGUACUUUAUCAUUGUCAUUAGGAACCAUGUUUUGUGUUUUGGGUUUUAAUUGUGAACCCAAUCAAAUGCUUUUUGUAAAUCAUACAACUCACAUUUUUUUAAUAAUGAAAUUAGAGUUCAUAAAAGUUAUAUUCUUUAAAACACUUGAAGUGUUUCAAACGGACCCU